GGUGAGAUGGCCGAGUUGGUUAUGGCGCCAGGUUAAGGUCCUGGUCACGAAAGUGGCGUGGGUGUAAGUAAUUACAAUUGAAUUCAUUAGUCUAGUUUACUAAUAUGUUUGUUCAGUCGAGUCCCACUCUCAUCA
Molecule: transfer RNA, 135 nt
Filed under: Pyrenophora tritici-repentis Pt-1C-BFP
Lineage: Eukaryota; Fungi; Ascomycota; Dothideomycetes; Pleosporales; Pleosporaceae
Description: tRNA-Leu (AAG) (tRNA-Leu-AAG-2-1)
Rfam family: tRNA
About the family: Transfer RNA (tRNA) molecules are approximately 80 nucleotides in length.
Source: RNAcentral